RNAcentral lists this ribosomal RNA (1329 nucleotides) under Triticum aestivum (bread wheat). RNAcentral describes it as "partial small subunit ribosomal RNA". Lineage: Eukaryota; Viridiplantae; Streptophyta; Magnoliopsida; Poales; Poaceae. The record is from RNAcentral.
AUGGCGCUUGUGCCCAACCCCGGCGAUCCGGCUCUCCGCAUCUACGGGCCGAAAAUCUAUUCUGGGUACCCCUCGCCCGAGGAAGAGUCCGAGUCCAGGUCUUACCUGCUGCACAAGAUCGGCUCCUUCUACCGCAAGGCGCGGAGGCGGCUCGCCUGCCGCCGCCGCGUGCAGCCGCACGACCUCUGCGUCGGCCUCCUCGACCCGGUCGCCAACAUCGUCAUCAACAGUACCAUCGCCCACCACUCCCGCAAGCGCGACCGCGAGGUCGCUGUGCCGCAGGAGGACCUGGAGCGCCGGUCGCUAGACGGCCUGGGCCUGGCUGUGCGCUACCUGCGCCUCGCCAAGGCCGACGCCCUCAUCGCCGCCUGCGCCGUCGCGUCGGACCACGGCAUCAAGUGGUUCCACGACUUCGAGGCCGCGCCUGCGCUCAUCAUCACGGCCCUCAAGUGCGCCGGGCUGGCCGCCGGGCACCCCGACGCCGCCCGCCUCGUCUGCGCCUGGCGCAACGUCUCCAGCCGCGUAGACGACGCGCUCAGCCUGCUCGACUUGCUCCGCGAAUCACAAUCAUCGCCACACCACUGCUCGCACGUCGUCAGGGAGCUCGUCUCCAUUGUCAACGAGGGACCGCAGGCCUGUGAAGGCCCCCUCGACCCCGUCUCCAACAUCAUCGUCAACACCGUCUGGCACCACGCCACGUUCCCGCCUUCCAUGAAGCUCGAGCAGAACGUGAUCGGCACGCGGAGCCUCCACCGGAUGGAGAACCGCUCCCUGUACGGCCUGGUCUCCUUCCUCUGCACUCGCUACCAUGGCUUUGGUUUCCAGCGAUCCGUGCGCUGCCUGCUUGAGGCAGACGCCAGCCUUGCGCUCGCUGAUCCCGACCUUGAUCCUGCCGCUGCUGCAAUUCGCCAUGUUCAGGAGGCUCAGAACUCCCCGGACACCGGUCUCAGGGAAGCCUUCUUGGCAGCCGCCACCGCGGCCUGCCACCCCAACCCGGACGCUCAAGCAAAGCUUCUCACUUCGUCACAAAUUCGGUGUGUUUACUGCGAAGCCAUGGGGACUAGAAUUGUGCAUCCAGUCGCGAUAGACUUCCGCGGCCGUGAUUCGGAGUUUGAGAUGCUGGCCCGCGAAAAAGACCCCUGUCAGCGCGAGGAAGCAACCUUGAGAAUCAUCAACCAUAGACGUCUCAUGGCGGAGAAUGUUCAUUGCAAGGAGAAAGAAGAUAUCCUCUAUGAUGGGGUGGAUGGGCACAAGAAUAAGUUUGAUAAUGUGAGUUCCCUGAGUGUGGAAGAAGCUAUGUUACUGGCACCACUUUGUCGCUAUCUGUAA